GUGCAGGCUUGAUCGUGUGGUUACUUCGUUACUCAAACAAUUGUUCGUCACACAAUGUGGUUGGUUUCCAACUGUACCACUGAUGCCACCCUGUACUUUU
RNAcentral lists this vault RNA (100 nucleotides) under Magallana gigas (Pacific oyster). RNAcentral's name for it is "Crassostrea gigas (Pacific oyster) Vault RNA". It matches the Rfam family "Vault RNA". From Rfam's summary of the family: This family of RNAs are found as part of the enigmatic vault ribonucleoprotein complex. The record is from Rfam by way of RNAcentral. Lineage: Eukaryota; Metazoa; Mollusca; Bivalvia; Ostreida; Ostreidae.